Molecule: ribosomal RNA, 253 nt
Filed under: uncultured bacterium
Lineage: Bacteria
Description: partial 16S ribosomal RNA
Rfam family: Bacterial small subunit ribosomal RNA
Source: RNAcentral
UACGAAGGGGGCUAGCGUUGCUCGGAAUGACUGGGCGUAAAGGGCGCGUAGGCGGUUUGGACAGUCAGAUGUGAAAUUCCUGGGCUCAGCCUGGGGGCUGCAUUUGAUACGUUCGGACUAGAGUGGGGAAGAGGGUCGUGGAAUUCCCAGUGUAGAGGUGAAAUGCGUAGAUAUCGAGAGGAACACCUGCGGCGAAGGCGGGUUGCUGGGCUGACACUGACGCUGAGGCGCGAAAGCCAGGGGAGCGAACGGG